Molecule: long non-coding RNA, 711 nt
Organism: Pogoniulus pusillus (Red-fronted tinkerbird)
Lineage: Eukaryota; Metazoa; Chordata; Aves; Piciformes; Lybiidae
Exons: 4
Source: RefSeq, a predicted model, not a curated record
CACACCCACAACAACACCACCCAUGCUAGCCUGCCCCUUAAUUAACACCCACAAAGUCUCAGCUUGCUUCACUUCCUUCCUUGGACAGAACUCACUAUGUUCUGGUGGCUCUCUCACAUACACAGCAAUUCCAUCACCUUCCCUUGUUGAUCUGCCUUUCCUGAAAAGGACCUAACCACCCAAGACCACUUUCCACUCAUUGUGAGCUGUCCCACCAUGUCUCUGCAUUUGUCACCUUCUUGCUGGAGGAGUCUGUGAGACAAAAGAACAAGAAUUCAUCAGUUUUCUUUAUUUAUCUGGAGUGGGCAACAAGGACCUGGAAAAAAUGAUUAUGCCUUCUUGCUGCAACAUCUUUAUGCUGUGCUGAAGAUUUACACCAGAUCUCCAACAGUAAGAAUUCACAAUUGUCCUCUGUGACAGACUGCUUUUCUGUUAUUGGAUGAAUUCAAUAACCUUCAGCCUCAAUAAUUCAGACCUGGUGGUUUCUGGGUGUCAUUUCCAGUCUCCAUUUCUCACAGAGCAAAGAGAUUUUCUGUCCAGAACACUUUGACCAUAUUGGAUUAUAAGGAACUCAUAUAGAAGAUCCCAGGCAUUCUUCAGUCAUCUGGAUAUGAUGGUUGUUCCUGACACUGGUCAUGUCACUCUGGAAUGCUCUUAGGAGAUUUCUUCCAGAUUCUCACUGACCUAUGGAAAUAGAAGCUGUUGGUAACA